GAUAAACGCUGGCGGCGUGCAUAACACAUGCAAGUCGAACGAAGUGGCAAAGGGGUGAGUAACACUUGGGUAACCUGCCUUACACAAGGGGAUACCCUUUGGAAACAAAGAAUAAUACCCUAUAGUGUAAGAUGGACUGGCGUCUGAUUCGAUAGUUGGUGAGAUAAAGGCCCACCAAGGAACCGAUCAGUAGCCGGCUUGAGAGAGGGUACGGCCACAUUGGGACUGAGACACGGACCAAACUCUACGGGAGGCAGCAGUGGGGAAUUUUGCACAAUGGGGGAAACCCUGAUGCAGCGACGCCGCGUGAUUUAGAAGGCCUUCGGGUUGUAAAAAUCUUUUUUAUGGGAUGCAGUACCAUAAGAAUAAGGUCCGGCUAAAUACGUGCCAGCAGCCGCGGUAAUAC
This 406-nucleotide ribosomal RNA is filed under the name uncultured bacterium. Its description in RNAcentral is "partial 16S ribosomal RNA". It matches the Rfam family "Bacterial small subunit ribosomal RNA", at positions 28 to 526 of the family's 1533-position model. The record is from RNAcentral.